RNAcentral lists this ribosomal RNA (253 nucleotides) under uncultured archaeon. RNAcentral describes it as "partial 16S ribosomal RNA". It matches the Rfam family "Bacterial small subunit ribosomal RNA", at positions 524 to 775 of the family's 1533-position model. The record is from RNAcentral.
CACCAGCGCCACAAGUGGGGACCGGUAUUAUUGGGCCUAAAGCGUCCGUAGCCGGAAUAAUAAAUCUCUUGUGAAAUUGUUAGGCUUAACCUAACAGCGUGCAGGAGACACUGUUGAUCUUGAGACCGGGAGGAGUCAGAGGUAUUCAUGGGGUAGCGGUAAAAUGCGUAGAGAUUUGGAGGAACACCAGCGGCGAAGGCGCUCUACUGGGCCGUAACUGACACUGAGAAACGAAAGCUGGGGGAGCGAAUAG